AGAGUUGUAGCUCAGUGGGAGAGCAUCUGCACUGCAAGCAGGAGGCCCCAGUCUCUAUCCCUGGCAUCUCCA
This is a non-coding RNA of Podarcis lilfordi (Lilford's wall lizard), 72 nucleotides long. NCBI's taxonomy places the organism in Eukaryota, Metazoa, Chordata, Lepidosauria, Squamata, Lacertidae. The record is from the annotation of a GenBank genome assembly.